CGGCUUACCAACCCGAUGCAAACUGCGAAUACCGGAGAAUGUUAUCACGGGAGACACACGGCGGGUGCUAACGUCCGUCGUGAAGAGGGAAACAACCCAGACCGCCAGCUAAGGUCCCAAAGUCAUGGUUAAGUGGGAAACGAUGUGGGAAGGCCCAGACAGCCAGGAUGUUGGCUUAGAAGCAGCCAUCAUUUAAAGAAAGCGUAAUAGCUCACUGGUCGAGUCGGCCUGCGCGGAAGAUGUAACGGGGCUAAACCAUGCACCGAAGCUGCGGCAGCGACACUGUGUGUUGUUGGGUAGGGGAGCGUUCUGUAAGCCUGUGAAGGUGU
RNAcentral lists this ribosomal RNA (329 nucleotides) under Salmonella enterica subsp. enterica serovar Enteritidis. RNAcentral's name for it is "partial 23S ribosomal RNA". It matches the Rfam family "Bacterial large subunit ribosomal RNA", at positions 932 to 1259 of the family's 2925-position model. The record is from RNAcentral. Lineage: Bacteria; Pseudomonadati; Pseudomonadota; Gammaproteobacteria; Enterobacterales; Enterobacteriaceae.